Non-coding RNA from Caenorhabditis elegans, 150 nucleotides. NCBI's taxonomy places the organism in Eukaryota, Metazoa, Nematoda, Chromadorea, Rhabditida, Rhabditidae. The record is from Ensembl.
ACUCAUUUGCUCGUAAAUCGUGGUAUUUUGCGAAAGUGUGGAAAACUCUGCAGACACCAAAACAAUGCACCACGAUUUACGCGAAAAUUUGAUAUGUGGGCACCAGAGAUCUUUUUCUAUGCUUAUAUAUAAAUAUAUAUAAAUAUAUCA